CCUGGUUGAUCCUACCAGUAGUCAUAUGCUUGUCUCAAAGAUUAAGCCAUGCAUGUGUAAGUAUGAAGAAAUUCAGACUGUGAAACUGCGAAUGGCUUAUUAAAUCAGUUAUAGAUUGUUUGAUGGUAUCUACUAAUUGGAUAACUGUAGUAAUUCUAGAGAAAAUACGUGCAACAAGCCCCGACUUCUGGAAGGGAUGCAUUUAUUAGAUAAAAGGUCGAUGCUGGCUCUGCCCGUUGCUGCAAUAAUUUAUGAUAACUAGACGGAUCGCACGGCCAUCGUGUUGGCGAUGCAUCAUUUAAAUUUAUGCCCUAUCAACUUUUAAUGGUAGGAUAGUGGCCUACCAUGGUGGUGACGGGUGACGAAGAAUUAAGAUUCGAUUUCAGAGAGGGAACUUGAGAAACGACCACUACAUCUAAGGAAGGCAGCAGGCGGGCAAAUUACCCAUUCCUGACACGGAGAGGUAGUGACAAUAGAUAACAAUACCGGGCUCAAUGAGUCUGGUAAUUGGAAUGAGUACAAUCUAAAUCCCUUAACGAGGAUCAAUUAGAGGGAAAGUCUGGUGCCAGCAUCCACGGUAAUUCCAGCUCCAAUAUCGUAUAUUUAAGUUGUUGCAGUUAAAAAGCUCGUAGUUGGACUUUGGGAUGGGCCAACCAAUUCGCCUACGGUGUGCACUGAUCGUCUCAUCCUUUCUAUCCGGGAUGCGCUCUUGGCCUUAACUGGCUGGGUCAUGCCUUCGGCGCUGUUACUAUGAAGAAAUUAGAGUUAUCAAAGAAAGCCUACACUCUGUAUACAUUAGCAUGGGAUAACAUUAUAGGAUUUUGGUCCCAUUACAUUGGCCUUCGGGAUCGGAGUAAUGAUUAACAGAGACAAUUGGGGGCAUUCGUAUUUCGUAGUCAGAGGUGAAAUUCUUGGAUUUAUGAAAGACGAAAAUCUUCGAAAGCAUUUGCCAAGGAUGUUUUCAUUAAUCAAGAACAAAAGUUGGGGGCUCGAAGACGAUCAGAUACCGUCCUAGUCUCAACCAUAAAUGAUGCCGACCAGGGAUCGGCGGAUGUUACUUUUAGGACUACGCCGGCACCUUAUGAGAAAUUAAAGUUUUUGGGUUCCGGGGGGAGUAUGGUCGCAAGGCUAAAACUUAAAGGAAUUGAUAGAAGGGCACCACCAGGAGUGGAGCCUGCGGCUUAAUUUGACUCAACAUGGGUAAACUUACCACGUCCAAACAUAGUAAGGAUUGACAGACUGAGAGCUCUUUCUUGAUUCUAUGGGUGGUGGUGCAUGGCCGUUCUUAGUUGGUGGAGCGAUUUGUCUGGUUAAUUCCGUUAACGAACGAGACCUCAGCCUGCUAACUAGCUAUGCGGAGGNCUCUGGUUAAUUCCAUUAAUGAACGAGACCUCAGCCUGCUAACUAGCUAUGCAGAGGUAUCCCUUCGCGACCAGCUUCUUAGAGGGACUACGACCUUUUAGGCCGCGGAAGUAUGAGGCAAUAACAGGUCUGUGAUGCCCUUAGAUUUUCUGGACCGCACGCACGCUACGCUGAUGUAUUCAAAGAGUUUAUAGCCUUGGCCGAUAGGCUCGGGUUAUCUUUGAAAUUUCAUCGUAAUAGGGAUAGAUCAUUGCAAUUGUUCGUAUUCAAUGAGGAAUUCCUAGUAAGCGCGAGUCAUUAGCUCACCUUGACUACAUCCCUACCCUUUCUACACACCGCCCGUCGCUCCUACCAAUUGAAUGAUUCGGUGAAAUGUUAGGAUCGCAGCGACGCGGGCAGUUCUCUGCCCACGACGUCACGAGAAGUCCAUUAAACCUUAUCAUUUAGAGGAAGGAGAAGUCAUAAGAAGCUUUUCAUAGGUGAACCUAUUGAAG
Molecule: ribosomal RNA, 1856 nt
Filed under: Capsicum baccatum
Lineage: Eukaryota; Viridiplantae; Streptophyta; Magnoliopsida; Solanales; Solanaceae
Description: bacterial SSU rRNA
Rfam family: Eukaryotic small subunit ribosomal RNA
Source: RNAcentral